GUAAGUGGGAGUGUCUGCUAUUCCUGCUUUCAAAGCCCCUAUCACUGGGUGUCCCAUCCUAACCUCAUCAACAUUGCUAAACUGGGAGCUUCUAAGGCACAGACUUAUAAUCUCUAGUUCCUUUGUUGUAUCCACCAUUUGCACUUGUGGUUGGGUGCAGCCCUGCGUGCAGACACCCCUGCCACUUCCCUGAAGCAUUGGGGUAAAGCAGCACUCCUCUUGGAC
This is a long non-coding RNA of Bombina bombina (fire-bellied toad), 225 nucleotides long. RefSeq lists it as uncharacterized. Lineage: Eukaryota; Metazoa; Chordata; Amphibia; Anura; Bombinatoridae. The record is from RefSeq and is a predicted model, not a curated record. The transcript has 3 exons.